UGGGGAAUAUUGCACAAUGGGGGAAACCCUGAUGCAGCGACGCCGCGUGAAGGAAGAAGUAUCUCGGUGUGUAAACUUCUAUCAGCAGGGAAGAUAGUGACGGUACCUGACUAAGAAGCCCCGGCUAACUACGUGCCAGCAGCCGCGGUAAUACGUAGGGGGCAAGCGUUAUCCGGAUUUACUGGGUGUAAAGGGAGCGUAGACGGUGUGGCAAGUCUGAUGUGAAAGGCAUGGGCUCAACCUGUGGACUGCAUUGGAAACUGUCAUACUUGAGUGCCGGAGGGGUAAGCGGAAUUCCUAGUGUAGCGGUGAAAUGCGUAGAUAUUAGGAGGAACACCAGUGGCGAAGGCGGCUUACUGGACGGUAACUGACGUUGAGGCUCGAAAGCGUGGGGAGCAAACAGG
RNAcentral lists this ribosomal RNA (404 nucleotides) under bacterium. RNAcentral's name for it is "partial 16S ribosomal RNA". It matches the Rfam family "Bacterial small subunit ribosomal RNA", at positions 355 to 776 of the family's 1533-position model. The record is from RNAcentral.